This 310-nucleotide small RNA is filed under the name Pongo abelii (Sumatran orangutan). RNAcentral's name for it is "retained intron". Lineage: Eukaryota; Metazoa; Chordata; Mammalia; Primates; Hominidae. The record is from RNAcentral.
GGUCCAGAGUGUGGAUGGCAAUGCCCAGUGCUGCGACUGCCGGGAGCCAGCCCCGGAGUGGGCCAGCAUCAACCUUGGUGUCACCCUCUGCAUUCAGUGUUCCGGCAUCCACAGGAGUCUUGGUGUUCACUUCUCCAAAGUCCGGUCUCUGACCCUUGACUCAUGGGAGCCAGAACUAGUGAAGCUCAUGUGCGAGCUGGGAAACGUCGUCAUCAACCAGAUCUACGAGGCCCGCGUGGAGGCAAUGGCAGUGAAGAAACCAGGGCCCAGCUGCUCCCGGUGAGCUUGGGGUUUAGCCUCCCAGGGGAAU